UGGAAAUCACAAGGAAAGUAU
This is a non-coding RNA of Caenorhabditis elegans, 21 nucleotides long. NCBI's taxonomy places the organism in Eukaryota, Metazoa, Nematoda, Chromadorea, Rhabditida, Rhabditidae. The record is from Ensembl.